RNAcentral lists this long non-coding RNA (402 nucleotides) under Crocodylus porosus (Australian saltwater crocodile). RNAcentral's name for it is "lncRNA (ENSCPRG00005000082.1)". Lineage: Eukaryota; Metazoa; Chordata; Crocodylia; Crocodylidae. The record is from RNAcentral.
GCGCCUGCCACCAUGGGGUCUGGUUCAUGAAUGGGAUUGCAAGGUGCCACCAUAGCACCAGCGGUGGAUUUGCUGGGAUCUUGUCCAUGGGAGCUGAACUAGAGACUCGCCCUAUGCGACUUCCAAGGCCCUGAUUGUAGCAGUUUGCACUGAAAGAGCGAACAGACUUUGGUGGUUCUCCUCUCUUGAAGUUCCUUCCACAUGCAUCAAACACAGACUCCGCUGCCUGUUGGGUGAGCUGCAAUCUGGCUGGGCUUCGCCAUCUAGCCACUAAUGGUGUUGCAGGGCCUGCACUGGAGCCGCUGCUUGGGGUGAUGUGGAUCCUGGCAACAGCGUGCACAGAGUGGAGGGCAUAGAAGCCUGUGGCCAGAGAUGCUUUGGGGAAAAGGAAAGCAAAGUACU